ACAAGCAAACCAGUUCUUGAUAAAACUAAGCCCCUCAAAUGUAUUAACUAAAUUCUGGUGUUAUGCUCUUCAGGUGUUACAUAUGUGUGCUAUUACAGUGAAGUUAUACCUACACAUAAGUGAGAUGGUUAAAUACAGAACUUAUAUUGUAUGGUAUUGGUAAAAGUUGUGCUUAUGAGAGGAAUACAAAUACAUUCAAUUAUUAUUAUUAUUAUGUUUUAAAUUGACCAAAGGGUUUUCAGGUAGUGUACAAUGGACUGAAUUAAGAGGUAAAAGGGAUUUUACCUAAUAAAUAUCACUGGGAGGUGCGGGAAAUGCAAAGGGAGUAUAAGUUUGCUCAUCAGUCAAUAUUUUGUAAGUCACAUCUAAAAAGCCGUUACCAUCUUUGACCAAGACAGCUGGAAACACUCUGUUUGUAACUUCUUCUUGUACUCUAUUUGGAACUUCUUCCUGUGGUUGAAUUGAAAUAAGAAGUUGAACAUGGUCAACUACUCCUCUUGUAGGUGGCACUGUGAACCAGCACUGAGGAAGUGAGGCAGGCCUUACUAUUCAGUACCCACUGCUAACAGGAUGUGAUUUGGUGAGAGAACAGAAAACAACUAGAGGCACAGACCAUGGAAUUGCUAGGGCAGAAGACUCUCCAGUUUCUGAGAUUGCAAUGUGUUCAGUAGCAGGAAUUCCAACCUCGACUCUGAAUGAAAUUUUGAGAAUGUAGGAAAAAGAAAAUGUAGUAAUUGCUGGCAACCUACUCUGAACAGCCAUUUAGGCUGCUGCUGUUUUGAAGAAAUGCCUAAAUGCCAGAAAGGCAUCACCACCAUACCUAGACAACCCAUUUUCCGUGUAAAGGAUUAAGAA
Molecule: long non-coding RNA, 855 nt
Filed under: Anas platyrhynchos platyrhynchos (common mallard)
Lineage: Eukaryota; Metazoa; Chordata; Aves; Anseriformes; Anatidae
Description: lncRNA (ENSAPLG00000019384.1)
Source: RNAcentral